GACGAACGCUGGCGGCGUGCUUAACACAUGCAAGUCGAGCGGUAAGGCCCUUUCGGGGUACGACGAGCGGCGAACGGGUAGGAGUAACAACGUGGGUGGACCUCGCCCUCCAGCUCUGGGAGUAAGACCCGGGAAACCGUAGGGUCGUAAUAACUGGAGUAUGACUCCAUGACGCAUGUUGUGGGGUGGGAAAGACCUUG
Molecule: ribosomal RNA, 200 nt
Filed under: uncultured bacterium
Lineage: Bacteria
Description: partial 16S ribosomal RNA
Source: RNAcentral